Molecule: ribosomal RNA, 504 nt
Filed under: Cladosporium cladosporioides
Lineage: Eukaryota; Fungi; Ascomycota; Dothideomycetes; Cladosporiales; Cladosporiaceae
Description: eukaryotic LSU rRNA
Rfam family: 5.8S ribosomal RNA (bases 143-296)
Source: RNAcentral
GCUACGGCCGGGAUGUUCAUAACCCUUUGUUGUCCGACUCUGUUGCCUCCGGGGCGACCCUGCCUUCGGGCGGGGGCUCCGGGUGGACACUUCAAACUCUUGCGUAACUUUGCAGUCUGAGUAAACUUAAUUAAUAAAUUAAAACUUUUAACAACGGAUCUCUUGGUUCUGGCAUCGAUGAAGAACGCAGCGAAAUGCGAUAAGUAAUGUGAAUUGCAGAAUUCAGUGAAUCAUCGAAUCUUUGAACGCACAUUGCGCCCCCUGGUAUUCCGGGGGGCAUGCCUGUUCGAGCGUCAUUUCACCACUCAAGCCUCGCUUGGUAUUGGGCAACGCGGUCCGCCGCGUGCCUCAAAUCGUCCGGCUGGGUCUUCUGUCCCCUAAGCGUUGUGGAAACUAUUCGCUAAAGGGUGUUCGGGAGGCUACGCCGUAAAACAACCCCAUUUCUAAGGUUGACCUCGGAUCAGGUAGGGAUACCCGCUGAACUUAAGCAUAUCAAUAAGCGAG